RNAcentral lists this ribosomal RNA (600 nucleotides) under Saccharomyces cf. cerevisiae/paradoxus. RNAcentral describes it as "LSU rRNA". It matches the Rfam family "Eukaryotic large subunit ribosomal RNA", at positions 44 to 658 of the family's 3401-position model. The record is from RNAcentral. Lineage: Eukaryota; Fungi; Ascomycota; Saccharomycetes; Saccharomycetales; Saccharomycetaceae.
CCAAAAGCGGAGGAAAAGAAACCAACCGGGAUUGCCUUAGUAACGGCGAGUGAAGCGGCAAAAGCUCAAAUUUGAAAUCUGGUACCUUCGGUGCCCGAGUUGUAAUUUGGAGAGGGCAACUUUGGGGCCGUUCCUUGUCUAUGUUCCUUGGAACAGGACGUCAUAGAGGGUGAGAAUCCCGUGUGGCGAGGAGUGCGGUUCUUUGUAAAGUGCCUUCGAAGAGUCGAGUUGUUUGGGAAUGCAGCUCUAAGUGGGUGGUAAAUUCCAUCUAAAGCUAAAUAUUGGCGAGAGACCGAUAGCGAACAAGUACAGUGAUGGAAAGAUGAAAAGAACUUUGAAAAGAGAGUGAAAAAGUACGUGAAAUUGUUGAAAGGGAAGGGCAUUUGAUCAGACAUGGUGUUUUGUGCCCUCUGCUCCUUGUGGGUAGGGGAAUCUCGCAUUUCACUGGGCCAGCAUCAGUUUUGGUGGCAGGAUAAAUCCAUAGGAAUGUAGCUUGCCUCGGUAAGUAUUAUAGCCUGUGGGAAUACUGCCAGCUGGGACUGAGGACUGCGACGUAAGUCAAGGAUGCUGGCAUAAUGGUUAUAUGCCGCCCGUCUUGAA